GUCCCCGUAGCUCAACCGGAUAGCGCGCAGCUUUCCGAAAGCUGAGGUUGCAGGUUCGAUUCCCGCCGGGGGUACCA
This 77-nucleotide transfer RNA is filed under the name Planctomycetota bacterium. RNAcentral's name for it is "tRNA-Arg". It matches the Rfam family "tRNA". From Rfam's summary of the family: Transfer RNA (tRNA) molecules are approximately 80 nucleotides in length. Their secondary structure includes four short double-helical elements and three loops (D, anti-codon, and T loops). Further hydrogen bonds mediate the characteristic L-shaped molecular structure. tRNAs have two regions of fundamental functional importance: the anti-codon, which is responsible for specific mRNA codon recognition, and the 3' end, to which the tRNAs corresponding amino acid is attached (by aminoacyl-tRNA synthetases). tRNAs cope with the degeneracy of the genetic code in two manners: having more than one tRNA (with a specific anti-codon) for a particular amino acid; and 'wobble' base-pairing, i.e. permitting non-standard base-pairing at the 3rd anti-codon position. The record is from RNAcentral. Lineage: Bacteria; Pseudomonadati; Planctomycetota.